This 421-nucleotide ribosomal RNA is filed under the name uncultured bacterium. Its description in RNAcentral is "bacterial SSU rRNA". It matches the Rfam family "Bacterial small subunit ribosomal RNA", at positions 356 to 773 of the family's 1533-position model. The record is from RNAcentral.
GAGGAAUAUUGCGCAAUGGACGAAAGUCUGACGCAGCCAUGCCGCGUGAAGGAUUGAAGGCCCUAUGGGUUGUAAACUUCUUUUGUACGGGAAUAAACCCUCGCUCGUGAGCGAGGCUGAAGGUACCGUAAGAAUAAGCACCGGCUAACUCCGUGCCAGCAGCCGCGGUAAUACGGAGGGUGCAAGCGUUAUCCGGAUUUAUUGGGUUUAAAGGGUCCGUAGGCGGAUCGUUAAGUCAGUGGUGAAAGCCUACCGCUCAACGGUAGAACUGCCAUUGAUACUGGCGAUCUUGAAUAUGUAUGAAGUUGGCGGAAUGUGUGGUGUAGCGGUGAAAUGCUUAGAUAUCACACAGAACACCGAUUGCGAAGGCAGCUGACUAAUACAUGAUUGACGCUGAGGGACGAAAGUGUGGGGAUCAAAC